Lolium rigidum is the source of this 944-nucleotide long non-coding RNA. RefSeq lists it as uncharacterized. NCBI's taxonomy places the organism in Eukaryota, Viridiplantae, Streptophyta, Magnoliopsida, Poales, Poaceae. The transcript is spliced from 3 exons. The record is from RefSeq and is a predicted model, not a curated record.
UUGUUGGAGUAAUUCCAACCGGAGAUGAGCCUGAUGGUAGAGAUGAAGAUACAUCAAAUGCUGAACGAGAUCACACUCAGGGGGAGCAGGAAGAGUAUCAAACUGAAAGAUCAAGGUGGCCACAAAACCUUAAGGUGUACUCACGGAGACAGAGAGCUGAGGAUGAUCAAGUGCAAGGGGAGGAAGAAAUCUCUUUGAGUCAGAAUCCUGAUGCUCAAAUACAGCCAGAUUUACAUGACUCAAGUUCAAGUCCCUCUACAAGUGAUGGAAGCGAAGAGGUGCCCCACAUGGAGAGAUGCCAUGCUAGAAGAAAUGGCAGCACUUGACAAGAAUAACACAUGGGUGAUGAUGAUGAAGAGAUAUCGAGGUUAAAGAAGGCAUUGGCAUGUUCGUUUGAAGUCAAAGACCUGGGAUACCUUCACUACUUUCUUGGGAUUGAGGUUGUUUAUGGUGCACAAGGUAUUUAUCUCUCUCAAAGGAAGUAUGUACUUGAUUUACUUGCUGAGACUGGAAUGUUAGAGUGUAGACCAGCACCCACACCUGUUGAGCAAAAUCUUCGAAUAUUAGGGGAUUCUGGUGAGUCAGUGGACAAAGGUAGAUAUCAAAGAUUAGUGGGGCGCUUAAUUUAUUUAUCACAUACUAGACCAGACAUUGCAUAUGCGGUUAGCAUUGUGAGCAGAUACAUGCAUGACCCUAGAACCAGCCACUUGGAUGCUGUAUACAGAAUUUUAAGGUAUCUAAAAGGGUGUCCGGGUAAAGGCAUUUUAUUUUCUAAUUAUGGGCAUCUUAAAAUAGAAGGAUAUACUAAUGCUGAUUGGGCUGGAUGUCUAGACGAUAGAAAGUCAACCGCUGGCUAUUGCAUGUUUUUGGGUGGAAAUUUAGUUAGCUGGCGGAGUAAAAAGCAGAGUGUAGUUGCACGUUCAACAGCUGAAGCUGAGUUUAGA